RNAcentral lists this ribosomal RNA (432 nucleotides) under uncultured bacterium. RNAcentral's name for it is "partial 16S ribosomal RNA". It matches the Rfam family "Bacterial small subunit ribosomal RNA", at positions 338 to 795 of the family's 1533-position model. The record is from RNAcentral.
CCUACGGGAGGCAGCAGUGGGGAAUAUUGCACAAUGGGCGGAAGCCUGAUGCAGCGACGCCGCGUGGGGGAUGACGGCCUUCGGGUUGUAAACUCCUUUCGACAGGGACGCGGUACCUGUAUAAGAAGCACCGGCUAACUACGUGCCAGCAGCCGCGGUAAUACGUAGGGUGCGAGCGUUGUCCGGAAUUACUGGGCGUAAAGAGCUCGUAGGUGGUUUGUCGCGUCGUCUGUGAAAUUCCGGGGCUUAACUUCGGGCGUGCAGGCGAUACGGGCAAACUUGAGUGCUGUAGGGGAGACUGGAAUUCCUGGUGUAGCGGUGAAAUGCGCAGAUAUCAGGAGGAACACCGAUGGCGAAGGCAGGUCUCUGGGCAGUACUGACGCUGAGGAGCGAAAGCAUGGGUAGCAAACAGGAUUAGAUACCCUUGUAGUC